This 635-nucleotide long non-coding RNA is filed under the name Dromaius novaehollandiae (emu). Its description in RNAcentral is "lncRNA (ENSDNVG00000007727.1)". Lineage: Eukaryota; Metazoa; Chordata; Aves; Casuariiformes; Dromaiidae. The record is from RNAcentral.
AACGGACUCACUAGGAGGACCUAGACUCUUGCAGCUUGAACUGUUAACCAAUGGUGGAAACGCGAGGCUGCCGAAGUUGUGCCUGCCGAGCCAAUCGAGUGGAUGCGUGUGUCCCACAUGACUGUGUUUCCCCUGUCUUUCACAUGGGCAGUAUUUAGUUCAAUUCAGAACUGCAGAUAGUAUAGCCUGCACGGCAGCAAUGGGAUGUCUGAGCGUGAGCGGCUGGCUUCCGAGGGCCGCCACCAAGCCCGCGCGUACGUGUCUCCUGAGCUACCCUGGGAUUGUGCCCCUUGCCAUCCGCCCACCCUCRUCUCUGCAGAAGGAGGCAGCGCGACCGGCACAGCGCAACAAAACAAAACUAGGCAUCACGACAAGCUGCAGACCAGCAAACGAAGCUAAGUGAGGGCAGUAUGACCAAUGUCUGCUGUGUCAGUUCCCCAGCAGUUGAAGCAUGUUAUCAGGUGUCCAAGACCUACAGCUUGCGGAGACUGGAAAGGAAGACAAAUAAGGUCGGAUCGAUGUCCUCAGAGGGCGGAGAAGGGUGGAGAAAAAGGACAAGAUUCAGACCGGACAUACGUACCAGGCAAGCAACCAUUCUUUCUGUAAUUCGGAACCUCUUACAGUUUGCACAGUGA